CAGUAGCCGCGGUAAUACAGAGGGUGCGAGCGUUAAUCGGAUUUACUGGGCGUAAAGCGUGCGUAGGCGGCUUUUUAAGUCGGAUGUGAAAUCCCUGAGCUUAACUUAGGAAUUGCAUUCGAUACUGGGAAGCUAGAGUAUGGGAGAGGAUGGUAGAAUUCCAGGUGUAGCGGUGAAAUGCGUAGAGAUCUGGAGGAAUACCGAUGGCGAAGGCAGCCAUCUGGCCUAAUACUGACGCUGAGGUACGAAAGCAUGGGGAGCAAACAGGAUUAGAUACCCCUGUAGUCCCUGUCUUUUAUAA
This 301-nucleotide ribosomal RNA is filed under the name uncultured bacterium. RNAcentral's name for it is "partial 16S ribosomal RNA". It matches the Rfam family "Bacterial small subunit ribosomal RNA", at positions 509 to 809 of the family's 1533-position model. The record is from RNAcentral.